GACCCACUAGCUCAAUUGGUAGAGCAACUGACUCUUAAUCAGUAGGUUCGGGGUUCGAUUCCCCGGUGAGUCACCA
RNAcentral lists this transfer RNA (76 nucleotides) under Schwartzia succinivorans. Its description in RNAcentral is "tRNA-Lys". It matches the Rfam family "tRNA". From Rfam's summary of the family: Transfer RNA (tRNA) molecules are approximately 80 nucleotides in length. Their secondary structure includes four short double-helical elements and three loops (D, anti-codon, and T loops). The record is from RNAcentral. Lineage: Bacteria; Bacillati; Bacillota; Negativicutes; Selenomonadales; Selenomonadaceae. RNAcentral also lists the same sequence under 1 other name.